GCGGGAGUAGUUCAGAGGUAGAACACCACCUUGCCAAGGUGGGGGUCGCGGGUUCAAAUCCCGUCUCCCGCU
RNAcentral lists this transfer RNA (72 nucleotides) under Calditrichota bacterium. Its description in RNAcentral is "Calditrichaeota bacterium tRNA-Gly". It matches the Rfam family "tRNA". From Rfam's summary of the family: Transfer RNA (tRNA) molecules are approximately 80 nucleotides in length. The record is from RNAcentral. Lineage: Bacteria; Pseudomonadati; Calditrichota.